RNAcentral lists this ribosomal RNA (492 nucleotides) under uncultured bacterium. RNAcentral's name for it is "partial 16S ribosomal RNA". It matches the Rfam family "Bacterial small subunit ribosomal RNA", at positions 29 to 507 of the family's 1533-position model. The record is from RNAcentral.
AGUGAACGCUGGCGGUAGGCCUAACACAUGCAAGUCGAACGGCAGCACAGUAAUAGCUUGCUCUUACGGGUGGCGAGUGGCGGACGGUUGAGGAAUACAUCGGAAUCUACUUUUUCGUGGGGGUUAACGUAGGUAAUCUUACGCUAAUACCGCAUACGACCUACGGGUGAAAGCAGGGGAUCUUCGGACCUUGCGCGAUUGAAUGAGCCGAUGUCGGAUUAGCUAGUUGGCGGGGUAAAGGCCCACCAAGGCGACGAUCCGUAGCUGGUCUGAGAGGAUGAUCAGACACACUGGAACUGAGACACGGUCCAGACUCCUACGGGAGGCAGCAGUGGGGAAUAUUGGACAAUGGGGGCAAGCCUGAUACAGCAAUACCGCGUGGGUGAAGAAGGCCUUCGGGUUGUAAAGCCCUUUUGUUGGGAAAGAAAAGCAGCAGGUUAAUACCCCGCUGGUAUGACGGUACCGAAAGAAUAAGCACCGGCUAACUUCGUG